This 260-nucleotide long non-coding RNA is filed under the name Salvia miltiorrhiza (redroot sage). RNAcentral describes it as "long non-coding RNA (SMIL_LNC001634)". The record is from RNAcentral. Lineage: Eukaryota; Viridiplantae; Streptophyta; Magnoliopsida; Lamiales; Lamiaceae.
GGCUUGGCUGGCGGUAACGGAGCAGAUUCUGCUUUUGUGGAGGAACGAGAAGUUGCUAUACCCAACGCCACAGCUAUCUCAAACCCUAAUGAUUCGGAUGUGGGGGCUGAUAACAUGCCCAAAUCCAAAUCGUAUGCUGAUAUCACGAUGAACAGGCCACCGAGACGUCCCGACCUACCUGCUCAUCGGUUUCACUCAUUACGUCCCACCAAAGAGGGAGAGCAGUUCUCCUUAAAAGUUCCACAGCACCUAUAUGCGCA